AAAUUCAGAAAAUCAGACUUGCCAGAAUUACUGAGGUCAGAGUGUACCAACGAGGCAUCCUGGAUCUUCUGCUCUCACGGGUCAUCAAAUUGAGAAGAACCAUACUAAAGGACCUACCCCCAAGGAAUGACACAUCAGGCAAAGAGUGAGAGUUCCUGUUGCUCCACAUCCUCGCCAGCGUUCCGUGUUGUCAGUGUUUUGGAGACUGGCCA
Molecule: long non-coding RNA, 212 nt
Organism: Balaenoptera ricei (Rice's whale)
Lineage: Eukaryota; Metazoa; Chordata; Mammalia; Artiodactyla; Balaenopteridae
Exons: 3
Source: RefSeq, a predicted model, not a curated record